CUACGUGCCAGCAGCCGCGGUAAUACGUAUGUCGCGAGCGUUAUCCGGAAUUAUUGGGCAUAAAGGGCAUCUAGACGGCCGGAUAAGUCUGGGGUGAAAACUUGCGGCUCAACCGCAAGCCUGCCCUGGAAACUAUGCGGCUAGAGUACUGGAGAGGUGGACGGAACUGCACGAGUAGAGGUGAAAUUCGUAGAUAUGUGCAGGAAUGCCGAUGAUGAAGAUAGUUCACUGGACGGUAACUGACGCUGAAGUGCGAAAGCUAGGGGAGCAAACAGGAUUAGAUACCCUGGUAGUCCUAGCUGUAAACGAUGAUUACUGGGUGUGGGCAUGAAGAGUGUCCGUGCCGAGGCUAAUGCGAUAAGUAAUCCGCCUGGGGAGUACGGCCGCAAGGCUGAAACUCAAAGGAAUUGACGGGGACCCGCACAAGCGGUGGAGCAUGUGGUUUAAUUCGACGCAACGCGAGGAACCUUACCAGAUCUUGACAUCCUG
Molecule: ribosomal RNA, 489 nt
Filed under: uncultured bacterium
Lineage: Bacteria
Description: bacterial SSU rRNA
Rfam family: Bacterial small subunit ribosomal RNA
Source: RNAcentral